GACACCACUCGCCCCUCUUCUCUACCCCCAUUCUUUUCUUCUGCCCUUCCUUUUCUCGCGAGGAGAUAAGCAGAACAACAGAGGCGGGGGGAGGGGGAAGGGCGGACUCUGCGUGUUCCGGAGCGCGAGCUCCGAGUGCACCGAACCUCGUGAACGAGACCCCUCUCUCUGUUAUACUGCCCGUUUACCGGCAAAAAGAGUUGUUGACGGCGCGUUGCUUUUUCAGCGACGCGACUCUCUACUCGACCUGCGCCGGUUUUCCGUAAGCGCCGUGGAGACAGCAGUUCCGGUCGUUGCUUUUGUUGUUUGUUUUCAACAACAAAACAAGCAAACACCCCAACUUUCG
This 346-nucleotide unclassified non-coding RNA is filed under the name Papenfussiella laxa. RNAcentral describes it as "partial ITS2". The record is from RNAcentral. Lineage: Eukaryota; Phaeophyceae; Ectocarpales; Chordariaceae.